This 695-nucleotide long non-coding RNA is filed under the name Homo sapiens (human). RNAcentral's name for it is "non-protein coding lnc-NPIPB4-5:7". Lineage: Eukaryota; Metazoa; Chordata; Mammalia; Primates; Hominidae. The record is from RNAcentral.
AUUUUAAAGGAUGACUGAUGGUCCCUGGAAGAGAAACAGUAAACAAAUAAGUUCCUGUCCCAUGACCAGGGCCAGCUCACCAAGGAGCUGCAGCAGCAUGUAAAGUCAGUGACAUGCCCAUGCGAGUACCUGAGGAAGGUUGAUGGACGGAUGGCUACAUGGAUGUGAUGGAGAUGGUUUACUAUCGGGACCUUCCGCACCCUGCUGAUGUUUUGUUGCUUAGGAUAUGAAUGGCUGAGCGGAGGCUGUAAAACCUGGCACUCUGCUUGGGUUAUCAAUACUCUGGCUGACCAUCAUCAUCGUGGGACUGACUUUGGUGGAAGUCCUUGGUUACAUGUCAUUAUUGCAUUUCCGACAAGUUAUAAAGUUGUCAUUACCCUCUGGAUAGUUUACCUUUGGGUGUCUCUCCUGAAGACUAUCUUCUGGUCUCGAAAUGGACAUGAUGGAUCCACGGAUGUACAGCAGAGAGCCUGGAGGUCCAACCGCCGUAGACAGGAAGGGCUGAGGUCCAUUUGUAUGCACACAAAGAAAAGAGUUUCUUCCUUUCGAGGAAAUAAAAUUGUCCUGAAAGACGUCAUUACUCUACGGAGACAUGUGGAAACAAAAGUUAGAGCUAAAAUCCGUAAGAGGAAGGUGACAACGAAAAUCAACCAUCAUGACAAAAUCAAUGGAAAGAGGAAGACCGCCAGAAAACA